AGCAGCAGCCGCGGGAAUACGAAGGGUGCAAGCGUUAAUCGGAAUUACUGGGCGUAAAGCGUGCGUAGGCGGUGAGUUAAGUCUGCUGUGAAAUCCCCGGGCUCAACCUGGGAAUGGCAGUGGAUACUGGCUCGCUAGAGUGUGUCAGAGGAUGGUGGAAUUCCCGGUGUAGCGGUGAAAUGCGUAGAGAUCGGGAGGAACAUCAGUGGCGAAGGCGGCCAUCUGGGACAACACUGACGCUGAGGCACGAAAGCGUGGGGAGCAAACAGGAUUAGAGACCCGUGUAGUCCAUGUCUCUUAUAC
Molecule: ribosomal RNA, 303 nt
Filed under: uncultured bacterium
Lineage: Bacteria
Description: partial 16S ribosomal RNA
Rfam family: Bacterial small subunit ribosomal RNA
Source: RNAcentral